Molecule: ribosomal RNA, 192 nt
Filed under: Limosilactobacillus fermentum
Lineage: Bacteria; Bacillati; Bacillota; Bacilli; Lactobacillales; Lactobacillaceae
Description: Lactobacillus fermentum partial 16S ribosomal RNA
Source: RNAcentral
UAUACCGUCACGUAUGAACAGUUACUCUCAUACGUGUUCUUCUUUAACAACAGAGCUUUACGAGCCGAAANCCUUCUUCACUCACGCGGUGUUGCUCCAUCAGGCUUGCGCCCAUUGUGGAAGAUUCCCUACUGCUGCCUCCCGUAGGAGUCCCCCCGUGCCCCCGCCCCGCCCGCCGCGCGCGGCGGGCGG